GCCAGGCAUGGUUGCAUGUACCUGUAAUCCCAGUAGCUCAGGAGGCUGAGGCAGGAGGCUCACAAAUUAGAGCCAGCCUCAGCAAAAAUCAGGUGCUACACAACUCAGUGAGACCCUGUCUCUA
Molecule: small RNA, 124 nt
Filed under: Marmota monax (woodchuck)
Lineage: Eukaryota; Metazoa; Chordata; Mammalia; Rodentia; Sciuridae
Source: RNAcentral